RNAcentral lists this ribosomal RNA (120 nucleotides) under Nitrososphaerota archaeon. The record is from RNAcentral. Lineage: Archaea; Thermoproteati; Nitrososphaerota.
UUAGCCGGCCAUAGCGUGUGGGUCCGACCUAGUCUCAUUCCGAACCUAGAAGUCAAACCACACGUCGUCACCAUGUUAGUGAGGUGCGAGAGCUCUCGCGAAGUGGUGAUGUCGGCACCU